Long non-coding RNA from Anser brachyrhynchus (Pink-footed goose), 708 nucleotides. NCBI's taxonomy places the organism in Eukaryota, Metazoa, Chordata, Aves, Anseriformes, Anatidae. The record is from Ensembl.
CGUGGCCCUUGUGGUGGUGCUGGGCAGGCCAAGCCUUGCCACAGCCAUGCAGGCCAUAAGAUGCGCAAGGAAAAGCAAGUUGCUUGAACCAUGGGGUAGAAGUGUUUUGGGGAAGCAGCACCUCGCAGGAGGGCUAGGGCAGCUGCCACCAGCCCUGAGAGGGGUUCGCUCAGCUGUGCGGCCUGACCAGGUAAUGAAGCACUUUGGAGACAAGGAGUAUGUGCUCUGCAAGGCAAGAGAAAGAGCUGUUUUCCAGUGGCCUCCCAGGCCAGGAGUUGCACAGCUUUUGGACGCGUGCUGGCCUUGUGCAGCCCGCCAGGGAGAUGGGCUGCGCAAAGCCUCCUGAUGGUCUGGUGGAGAAGAACAGCUACAGGAGAGGAGCAGAAAUCAAUGUCAGGGAUGGGAAUAAAGGCAACAGAGGCAGUGCUCGUACAAAACCAGCCCAGCAAAAGGAAGGUGUCAGCAGCCAUGGACGUACCGAGAGGAGCACGGACACUCAGAAGAUCUGCUGGCCAAGUGAGCAGUGACAGAAACUGCCAGCCUCUGAGAUGGGCUCUUCUGGCUUACUCUGGAGCUGUUCUUCAAGGCAAGUGUUACAUCUGCUCUGUGCCACCAGCAUGUCAGCAGGGAGCUGGGGCAGCUGUGGCCUUUGGGAAGAGAGGGCACCCAUCCUCAGCGUGCAGCAGAGAGCAGUACAACAGUAUGUGA